UAAAGUGGCGCACGGGUGAGUAACACGUGGAUCAUCUACCUUUUAGUGGGGAAUACCUCUGGGAAACCGGAGACAAUACCGCAUAAGCCUGUAAAGGGAAAGCAGCAAUGCGCUGAAAGAGGAGUCCGCGGCCGAUUAGCUAGUUGGCGGGGUAAUGGCCCACCAAGGCGAAGAUCGGUAGCCGGCCUGAGAGGGCACACGGCCACACUGGCACUGAAACACGGGCCAG
RNAcentral lists this ribosomal RNA (229 nucleotides) under uncultured bacterium. Its description in RNAcentral is "partial 16S ribosomal RNA". It matches the Rfam family "Bacterial small subunit ribosomal RNA", at positions 91 to 334 of the family's 1533-position model. The record is from RNAcentral.